RNAcentral lists this ribosomal RNA (252 nucleotides) under uncultured bacterium. RNAcentral's name for it is "partial 16S ribosomal RNA". It matches the Rfam family "Bacterial small subunit ribosomal RNA", at positions 524 to 776 of the family's 1533-position model. The record is from RNAcentral.
UACAGAGGUCCCAAGCGUUGUUCGGAUUCACUGGGCGUAAAGGGUGCGUAGGUGGUGAGGUAAGUCGGAUGUGAAAUCUCCGAGCUCAACUCGGAAAUGGCAUUGGAAACUACCUUGCUCGAGGGUUGGAGGGGGACUGGAAUGCUUGGUGUAGCAGUGAAAUGCGUAGAUAUCAAGCGGAACACCAGCGGCGAAGGCGAGUCCCUGGACAACUCCUGACACUGAGGCACGAAAGCUAGGGGAGCAAACAGG